UACGGGGGGGGCAAGCGUUGUUCGGAAUUACUGGGCGUAAAGGCUCGUAGGCGGCCAACUAAGUCGGACGUGAAAUCCCCAGGCUCAACCUGGGAACUGCGUCCGAUACUGGAUGGCUUGAAUUCGGGAGAGGGAUGCAGAAUUCCAGGUGUAGCGGUGAAAUGCGUAGAUAUCUGGAGGAAUACCGGUGGCGAAGGCGGCAUCCUGGACCGACAUUGACGCUGAUGAGCGAAAGCUAGGGGAGCAACGGG
RNAcentral lists this ribosomal RNA (251 nucleotides) under uncultured bacterium. RNAcentral describes it as "partial 16S ribosomal RNA". It matches the Rfam family "Bacterial small subunit ribosomal RNA", at positions 524 to 775 of the family's 1533-position model. The record is from RNAcentral.